GGCUGGUUCCUGUGAAGGAGUGUUGUGUAGCUAGAGAUCCUAUCGCUAGUUGGCUAUUACUCUGUAAUAUGAGGUAGAAGAAGCUUCAGCUGGACAUGAUUAUUUCAUCUAUUAGCAGGAAGGGAAGAAAUCUGAGAAGAGAAGCUUUGUGAAUACUCGUGCAUGUAGUUCUUGGGAAUUGCCUUCUUUUGUUUGUAACCUUAAGCACUUCUUUCGUGUGCAGAUUUGCUGCAUGUUUUCUUUAGAGAGGUGGCACAACUUCCAAUUGAGAGGUGGCCUAUGUUUUGUUGUAUGCCUUUUGCUUUUAAUAUGCUGAAUCAAACUAAAACUCAAUUUUCUCUGAUGAAAGAGCUCCUUGGCAUUUGUAAACGGAUUAUCUUGGUUUGUAUAGUGUUUCUUAAUAACAGCAGCGGUUGUUUCUAUUGUAGUCCGCUUUUUAGGACCCCAGGAAGGCUCGAGCUGAAACUGAGGAAAUGAAGGAUAUUCCCUUGUUCAGAAAGAAUCUAGGUACUAAAAACCAGUAUAUGCUUACCUGUUCUGAGAGCACUUGCAAGUCUGAUCCCUUAUUCGAAGACACUUACGUUUGCCUUCAGGAAUAAGCAUUGAUGUG
Gallus gallus (chicken) is the source of this 610-nucleotide long non-coding RNA. The record is from Ensembl. NCBI's taxonomy places the organism in Eukaryota, Metazoa, Chordata, Aves, Galliformes, Phasianidae.